RNAcentral lists this ribosomal RNA (481 nucleotides) under uncultured Pseudomonadota bacterium. RNAcentral's name for it is "bacterial SSU rRNA". It matches the Rfam family "Bacterial small subunit ribosomal RNA", at positions 97 to 573 of the family's 1533-position model. The record is from RNAcentral. Lineage: Bacteria; Pseudomonadati; Pseudomonadota.
GGCGCACGGGUGAGUAACACGUGGGUAUCUACCCUCUGGCGGGGGACAACAGCUGGAAACGGCUGCUAAUACCGCAUAAGUCCGCUUCGGCGGGGAAAGGUGGCUUCGGCUAUCACCAGAGGAUGGGCCCGCGUCCCAUCAGCUAGUUGGUAGGGUAAUGGCCUACCAAGGCUACGACGGGUAGCUGGUCUGAGAGGAUGAUCAGUCACACUGGAACUGAGACACGGUCCAGACUCCUACGGGAGGCAGCAGUGGGGAAUAUUGCGCAAUGGGCGAAAGCCUGACGCAGCGACGCCGCGUGAGUGAUGAAGGCCUUCGGGUCGUAAAGCUCUGUGGGAGGGGGACGAACACCCUGUGGGAAUAAUACCCUGCAGGUCUGACGGUACCCCUCCAGAAAGCAUCGGCUAACUCCGUGCCAGCAGCCGCGGUAAUACGGAGGAUGCAAACGUUGUUCGGAAUCACUGGGCGUAAAGCGCAUGUA